RNAcentral lists this ribosomal RNA (253 nucleotides) under uncultured bacterium. RNAcentral describes it as "partial 16S ribosomal RNA". It matches the Rfam family "Bacterial small subunit ribosomal RNA", at positions 524 to 776 of the family's 1533-position model. The record is from RNAcentral.
GACGAACCGUGCGACCGUUGUUCGGAAUCACUGGGCUUAAAGGGCGCGUAGGCGGGCAUUCAAGUCAGGGGUGAAAUCCUCCGGCUCAACCGGAGAACUGCCUUUGAUACUGGGUGUCUCGAGUGAGGUAGGGGCAUGCGGAACUGAUGGUGGAGCGGUGAAAUGUGUUGAUAUCAUCAGGAACUCCGGUGGCGAAGGCGAGGUGCUGGACCCUUUCUGACGCUGAGGCGCGAAAGCCAGGGGAGCAAACGGG